GGCCCAGUGUGGCGUAUCAUUGGUUUCCAGGGCCAACGUCCCCCCCCAGGGGCCGACAGGCUCUGAGCAUUUGCUGUGCAAUCUCCGCCUGUCUUGGAAACCAGUGGCCUCAGAGCCCCUGCUCACCCGGCUUCAUACCUGAGCAUGGAACUCACUGGAAAAUGUGGCAAUGCCUAACAAAGCCGUGGCUCUUGAGUGUGACUUGGGCAAGAGCUGCUUCCAGGUUCUCAGAAUGACACCUCCAAGAUGGGCACCAAGCUGGUUCCCCACGGUGCCCACAUCCUGAAGUGUCCCAGAUCACACAGCAGCGGCGGAUUUGAGUCACCCCAGGCCUCUGCAGACAGGCGCAAGAAAUAAGGAAACCUGCUCCUCCUCCCGGAUUUCCUGGGCCGACGCCCGUGUCCCUGUGGGUUCCUGUCCUUCCUCAGAACAUGAGCAUCGAGCCAGGAGCAAAGCCCCGCGCUGUGGCUCAGGUGCAGCUGUGGGGAUCAGUUUCCACCAGUGAGGGGCAUGAAAAGGCCACGUGAAAAUUCUCCCUCCUUGGAGCAAACGGCGUCCAGGGCCCCGGAUUUUCACCCCCUCCCCAGGGUGGAAAGGAGGCAUCUGCAACAGCUUCAACCACGAAGACGAGGACAGGACCUGGGACCAAAACCACAAGGUGGAGAGCGGGCCCGGCCCACCUGCAGUCUCGCCUGUUGCUUGCGGAUGGCGUGAACCGCUAGCCUCUGGGAGCUUCUCCGCUUGGGGGCCUCUUUGUUCUAGAAGCUUAGUCUUUAUCCUAAUACCCCGGCUCGAUGCAAAUACUGAGAAAUAUAAGUGAAUAGAAAUGGAAGGAACUUCAUUGUACAAACAGCACUCAAUGCUUUGAUCUCCUUCUGAGUUACACGCCAUGAGUUACACGCCAAUGAUCACACGAUGGUCUAUCACCAAAAGGAUUUCUGAUGAUGGAUCAGCCCAGGACUCAGCGGGAUCGUGAUGUGAAAUGGUGCCUGGUCUGCUGGGGACAGCACAGGAACGAAAACGUGGAAACGUGGAAACGCGGGUCUCCGGCCGUCCAGCUUUCGCGGGCCCCGUGUUCUUCCCUUCAGUGAAAAUACGCUUAUA
Molecule: long non-coding RNA, 1104 nt
Filed under: Homo sapiens (human)
Lineage: Eukaryota; Metazoa; Chordata; Mammalia; Primates; Hominidae
Description: HSALNT0395367
Source: RNAcentral